UACGUAGGGUGCAAGCAUUAAUCGGAAUUAUUGGGCGUAAAGGGCGCGUAGGCGGAUUGAUAAGUCAGAUGUGAAAUACCAAGGCUUAACCUUGGUGCUGCAUUUGAAACUGUCUCUCUAGAGGAUUGACGGAGAAAGCGGAAUUCCACGAGUAGCGGUGAAAUGCGUAGAUACGUGGAGGAACACCAGUGGCGAAGGCGGGUUGCUGGGCUGACACUGACGCUGAUGCGCGAAAGCCAGGGGAGCGAACGGG
Molecule: ribosomal RNA, 253 nt
Filed under: uncultured prokaryote
Description: partial 16S ribosomal RNA
Rfam family: Bacterial small subunit ribosomal RNA
Source: RNAcentral